Molecule: long non-coding RNA, 1778 nt
Organism: Bubalus bubalis (water buffalo)
Lineage: Eukaryota; Metazoa; Chordata; Mammalia; Artiodactyla; Bovidae
Exons: 3
Source: RefSeq, a predicted model, not a curated record
ACCCUUCCUUCUGCCAGUUUUGGAGAUUUGAUUCAGAGUGGUUGCUAAGACCACAUAACUAGGUGAUCUCAGAUUUGCAGACUGUGAAUCUUGUUGGUUUUCUCUCUCCUUUGCCUCCCAGCGUGCGCAAAUCUCCAGAUUAACAUGAGAGCUUUGGGAUGAUUGAAUAAGGAAGAAAUCUGGAGAACGCACAUGUGGGGUGCUUGUGAUUAUGGCUCCAACGUUCAAGCUGACACCACUGCUUCUGUUUACUGAAGACAGAGCCCGACGACCCAGCGCUGGCUGGAACAGCUGCCGACACUGGAAGGUGCUCAGGUCACCCGUGAGUGAGGCGUUUAAGAGGGUGCUGGCUACUGAGACAAGCUACGAUUUAUCAUAAUAAAAGGAUGCAGAGCAAAAUCGGCAAAGAGAAGAGGUACAUGGGACAGAGACCAGAGGAAACCAGGUGUGGGCUUCCAAGACUUCAUUUCCAUUGGAGUCACUGAAUGCAUUAAAAUUUCUCCAGCUGCAAAUUGGGACAACAGGUUCAUUUAGCACAUCAAGUUGCUUCUGAAAAAUCAAGACAAUCUGUGUAUGCUGAGUGGUGUUCAGUCACCUCCUGAGUGGCAGGUCUGGCUGGCACAGUGGUGUUGAGUCCAGGCUCCCUUCCAAAGGCAUUGUUAUUUAUAGGAGAAUGUCCACUCAAGCCAAGGAUCAAUGCUGCUGGAACACUAAGAAGCCAAAUAGAAGUAAACUGCUCAUCUUAAAACCCAAGUUCCAGACUUCCGAUAGGGAAAAGUAAGCAAGUCAGCAAUUAUCCCCCUAGAAAAGAAUGAUAAAAUGAGAACAGCACCCAUUUCAGGGCUCUGGAAAUUGACUAAAGGCAAACAACAAUCUGGAAAGUGUUUUUUGUUUUUUUUUUUUCUUCAUAAAGAACCUCUAUAUCUUAUUAAGAAUCGUGGAGUUUUUUGGCAUUCUUGCCUGGGACUGCUCCCAGCCAGUCCUGUGCCAGCUCAGUGAGGUUUUGGCAGGACUGGACAUACUGAAAAAGCCUGCAGCUUCAGUCCUGGUGCUCAUUAGCUCAGUCAUGUUCAACUCUGUGAGAACCCAUGGACUGUAGCCCACCCGGUCCCUCUGUCCAUGGGAUUUUGCUGGCAAGAAUACUGGAGUGGGUUGCCAUGCCUUCCUGCAGGGGAUCUUCCUGACCCAGGGAUGGAAUCCGCAUCUCCUACACGGGGAGGUGGAUUCUUUACCACUGAGCCACCUGGGAAGCCAUUAGUGCUGGAGGGAGUGCAACUGAGUUUCAGUAGAAAACCCAGCCCUGGUUGUGUUAAAGGAAUGAUCCCGGUGGCAAGCGAACAAGGAAAGCCAGCACUUUGUUGACUUGAAGCUGCAGUCCAGGUUGGGAAAGCAAUAUUAUGGGUGACAAUCCAGGCAUUGAAUAGGGAGAUCCUAGAAAUGAGACACUACAGAGCAGCUUGAACAAUUACCCCACACCCCCGGUUGUCUUCUGAGCAUGUGCAGAGCAGGGUGGUGGGGGACCAGAGGUGAUACAAGCUAUUCACCCAUCCUCAGCUAACUGAUGUCAUGACCUUGCAGAGACGUGGAUGGGCAUGAGAAAAUCUUACUGGGUUGAUAGAAAUGUUCUAAAAUUGGAUUCUGGUGAUGUUUGCUCAACUCUAUAAAUUUAUCCCAAAUCACUAAUUUUAUACUCAAAACAUAUUUUAAGGUAUGUGAAUUAUAUAUACAUCAAUAAAUCUGUUAAAAACAUUCAAGUUCUAAUAAAUAACUCUAAGAAA